GUAUCACCAAACAUGGCUUCAUUUAACUUUUUUAAAAAGAUAAAGGAGGCACUGUCUCCAAACAACAACCCUGAGGUAGUGUAUGCAGCCUGUUGCUUAUACGGGCUGCUUAAGGGACAUGGGAGACUCUG
Octodon degus (degu) is the source of this 131-nucleotide small nucleolar RNA. Its record names the gene SNORA70. It matches the Rfam family "Small nucleolar RNA SNORA70". Rfam says of the family: snoRNA U70 seems to be exclusive to mammals and is a member of the H/ACA class of snoRNA which contain H (ANANNA) and ACA box motifs. The record is from Ensembl. Lineage: Eukaryota; Metazoa; Chordata; Mammalia; Rodentia; Octodontidae.